Molecule: ribosomal RNA, 1113 nt
Filed under: Staphylococcus aureus
Lineage: Bacteria; Bacillati; Bacillota; Bacilli; Caryophanales; Staphylococcaceae
Description: partial 23S ribosomal RNA
Rfam family: Bacterial large subunit ribosomal RNA
Source: RNAcentral
CGAAGCGUGCGAUUGGAUUGCACGUCUAAGCAGUAAGGCUGAGUAUUAGGCAAAUCCGGUACUCGUUAAGGCUGAGCUGUGAUGGGGAGAAGACAUUGUGUCUUCGAGUCGUUGAUUUCACACUGCCGAGAAAAGCCUCUAGAUAGAAAAUAGGUGCCCGUACCGCAAACCGACACAGGUAGUCAAGAUGAGAAUUCUAAGGUGAGCGAGCGAACUCUCGUUAAGGAACUCGGCAAAAUGACCCCGUAACUUCGGGAGAAGGGGUGCUCUUUAGGGUUAACGCCCAGAAGAGCCGCAGUGAAUAGGCCCAAGCGACUGUUUAUCAAAAACACAGGUCUCUGCUAAACCGUAAGGUGAUGUAUAGGGGCUGACGCCUGCCCGGUGCUGGAAGGUUAAGAGGAGUGGUUAGCUUCUGCGAAGCUACGAAUCGAAGCCCCAGUAAACGGCGGCCGUAACUAUAACGGUCCUAAGGUAGCGAAAUUCCUUGUCGGGUAAGUUCCGACCCGCACGAAAGGCGUAACGAUUUGGGCACUGUCUCAACGAGAGACUCGGUGAAAUCAUAGUACCUGUGAAGAUGCAGGUUACCCGCGACAGGACGGAAAGACCCCGUGGAGCUUUACUGUAGCCUGAUAUUGAAAUUCGGCACAGCUUGUACAGGAUAGGUAGGAGCCUUUGAAACGUGAGCGCUAGCUUACGUGGAGGCGCUGGUGGGAUACUACCCUAGCUGUGUUGGCUUUCUAACCCGCACCACUUAUCGUGGUGGGAGACAGUGUCAGGCGGGCAGUUUGACUGGGGCGGUCGCCUCCUAAAAGGUAACGGAGGCGCUCAAAGGUUCCCUCAGAAUGGUUGGAAAUCAUUCAUAGAGUGUAAAGGCAUAAGGGAGCUUGACUGCGAGACCUACAAGUCGAGCAGGGUCGAAAGACGGACUUAGUGAUCCGGUGGUUCCGCAUGGAAGGGCCAUCGCUCAACGGAUAAAAGCUACCCCGGGGAUAACAGGCUUAUCUCCCCCAAGAGUUCACAUCGACGGGGAGGUUUGGCACCUCGAUGUCGGCUCAUCGCAUCCUGGGGCUGUAGUCGGUCCCAAGGGUUGGGCUGUUCGCCCAUUAAAGCGGU